RNAcentral lists this ribosomal RNA (307 nucleotides) under Priestia flexa. Its description in RNAcentral is "bacterial SSU rRNA". It matches the Rfam family "Bacterial small subunit ribosomal RNA", at positions 1194 to 1502 of the family's 1533-position model. The record is from RNAcentral. Lineage: Bacteria; Bacillati; Bacillota; Bacilli; Caryophanales; Bacillaceae.
ACUGCUGCUUAUGACUGGGCUAACACGUGCUACAUGGAUGGUACAAAGGGCUGCAAGACCGCGAGGUCAAGCCAAUCCCAUAAAACCAUUCUCAGUUCGGAUUGUAGGCUGCAACUCGCCUACAUGAAGCUGGAAUCGCUAGUAAUCGCGGAUCAGCAUGCCGCGGUGAAUACGUUCCCGGGCCUUGUACACACCGCCCGUCACACCACGAGAGUUUGUAACACCCGAAGUCGGUGGGGUAACCUUUAUGGAGCCAGCCGCCUAAGGUGGGACAGAUGAUUGGGGUGAAGUCGUAACAAGGUAACCA